Molecule: long non-coding RNA, 243 nt
Filed under: Vigna radiata
Lineage: Eukaryota; Viridiplantae; Streptophyta; Magnoliopsida; Fabales; Fabaceae
Description: long non-coding RNA (VRAD_LNC000088)
Source: RNAcentral
ACGAUCAAUUGCUUUUAACUUCUACUCUAUAAUGUUGUAUUAAUUGCUAGGGGAGGCUAGGGAUAGCAAGCCAGUAAUUAGUAUUAGGCUCUUUUCGCCGAGGGAUCGGGUUAAGGGUAGGCUAAGAAAGUUGCAUGACAUUUCUUUUGCAUGUUCAUAUUUUAUUCUCUUACCCAAUUUAUUAAUUUUUAUUUUCAAGUCUUAUUAUUUUAAUUCACGCGAACGAUAAAGCCUUUCGAGUCU